UCCAGAUGAAGAGAUGCUUUGGCGGGCGAAACAGUUGUGGAAAACCUUCAUAGGCUCGGCGGAACCGGGAUUUCGAUUUUUCUUUGAGCAAUUACGAGUGGAUGGGUCAGAGUCUCAGGGACCAAGUUCGGAAGUAGAAUAUCCGCUUAAUGUUGCUGAAUGUGGCUUGUGAUACUUGUUGAACCCUGAACACAGCCCAUGUGAAAAAACUAAUUUGGUGGGAAGAGUCAUCCCAAAAUCCAGUGAAACUCGGGAUUUUUCUGGCGUAUGCUGAAAUAACUCGAGAUCAUUGCCAAUGGCUUGACGUAAAGGAAAAUACAGCCUUACUUGAUCCGGGACAGUGCACUUUGAAUCAUUUGUGCUUUAUUACAAUAUCAACUACAUCAUCAAAAGCUUAAGACUUCGUAACUAAGCUUUUUGACUCUAUCCGGUAUCUCAUCCUAAUGUUAGAUUAGAUGGUGUUCUUUCAUUUAGAUGCUUUGGAAUGGGACCGCCUUUAUGUGACAUUAUUGGACAAUGGAGAUAAAUAAAUGAUGCAGUUAAAGAUAUUAUGAUGAUUGAUAUGCCUUAACCUUUCAGUCAGCAAAUUUUGAGGCCUUCACUAAGUAAUGCAAGGACCUAAAUGUAAUCAUGCUCCAUCUCCUUCAUCCCUGGUGUGAUGGAACCGGUUGAUUUCCCUUCACUAGGCUGGCAUCGAGACCCGCUCUUCUCGUAGUGAUUUCACCAACUGGUGCUGAGAACAGGGCUGUGUUGAGGAAGGCUGACAAGAAAUUAUGUGAUAAUUUUUCCUGUUUGGGUGAAGUUUCGGAAAUUGGAUUGUUUAUUGUUGAUCAUAUAUUUGGAGAUAGAAUGAUAUAGAGUAAGAGUGUAUAUGAAGACUUACCUUUUCUCCUUACAUUAAUUCUUGUGGGCAACAAAUUUGUGACUACAGAAGUUCUGGAUUUGAAUUUUUGGGAAGGAAA
This is a long non-coding RNA of Prosopis cineraria, 962 nucleotides long. RefSeq lists it as uncharacterized. The record is from RefSeq and is a predicted model, not a curated record. The transcript has 3 exons. NCBI's taxonomy places the organism in Eukaryota, Viridiplantae, Streptophyta, Magnoliopsida, Fabales, Fabaceae.